Molecule: ribosomal RNA, 445 nt
Filed under: uncultured bacterium
Lineage: Bacteria
Description: partial 16S ribosomal RNA
Rfam family: Bacterial small subunit ribosomal RNA
Source: RNAcentral
GUGAGGAAUAUUGGUCAAUGGGCGAGAGCCUGAACCAGCCAAGUCGCGUGAAGGAAGAAGGAUCUAUGGUUCGUAAACUUCUUUUGCAGGGGAAUAAAGUGCAGGACGUGUCCUGUUUUGUAUGUACCCUGAGAAUAAGGAUCGGCUAACUCCGUGCCAGCAGCCGCGGUAAUACGGAGGAUCCGAGCGUUAUCCGGAUUUAUUGGGUUUAAAGGGUGCGUAGGUGGGUUGAUAAGUCAGCGGUGAAAGUUUGCAGCUUAACUGUAAAAAUGCCGUUGAAGCUGUCGGACUUGAGUGUCAAUGAGGUAGGCGGAAUGCGUGGUGUAGCGGUGAAAUGCAUAGAUAUCACGCAGAACUCCGAUUGCGAAGGCAGCUUACUAAGCUACAACUGACACUGAAGCACGAAAGCGUGGGGAUCAAACAGGAUUAGAAACCCUAGUAGUCC